MicroRNA precursor from Aotus nancymaae (Ma's night monkey), 94 nucleotides. Lineage: Eukaryota; Metazoa; Chordata; Mammalia; Primates; Aotidae. The record is from Ensembl.
GCAUGGUGUGGUGGGGCAGCUGGUGUUGUGAAUCAGGCCGUUGCCAAUCAGAGAACGGCUACUUCACAACACCAGGGCCGCACCACACUACAGG